Molecule: long non-coding RNA, 1425 nt
Organism: Haplochromis burtoni (Burton's mouthbrooder)
Lineage: Eukaryota; Metazoa; Chordata; Actinopteri; Cichliformes; Cichlidae
Exons: 3
Source: RefSeq, a predicted model, not a curated record
AAUGCUUAACUAUACACUUUCUUUUUCUUCACAGCAACACCAAGUGAGCUGACAAAUCUCCUAAAAUUCUGGACUGGAUGGGAGAUUGUGCCAAAAAGUCUCACAGUGGAGCUAGUAGAUGGCAGACUCUGGAAUGGCAGAUUGAUCAUCAGUAUGCCAGUCCAGGAGCAAAGUGGCAGAGAGACUUGGAACCUCUUCAGUCCAGUCUGCUCGAAUAUGUUUUGGACCAAAACCUACCUCCAGGAGAACUCCUAGGGAAGGAUGACAAUAUCUACCUGACUCGGGAAGACUUCUGGAGCCUGGGUUUGGAACACUCCAUGGAAUCUACUGUAAGUAUAUCUUGUUACUUUAGCUAAUGUACCGCAAAGAAAAUAUCAUGUAAUGCAAGAUUGUUGUGUUUCAGAAGUCACGUGAACCUCUGAUCUUGUCCAAAAUCACGGACUUUGACAACAUCAUUCGUUGUUCUCUCCAUGUGGCAUGCAGUCUGACGCCAGAAGACCCAAACAUGCAACAAGCGACAAGCGGACCUUCAGAAGUGGAAGAUCAUGUUGACAUCUGUUUGUGACAGAACCUUUGGAUUCACUUUGUACGACGCUUUGGUCGUGUUUGUGUUAAAAACACCAAAUAAAAAAGAAAAAACAAUCUAAAUUGUCCUGGAUUUGUCUUGUAUUUAAAUCUACAGCAGUGAACCAUGUAAAGGUGCUUUUUGAUAUCUGGACUGGACUCUGAUUGGAUGAGAGAAGCUGAGCUGGGAGUUGUCUCCAGCUUUUAUAUCUGCUUCCUUCUCGGCUGCACUAUGACAUUCCAUACCGGAUGGUGCACCAUCCAGUAACUUCAAAGAAGAAGCCUCCAACACUCCUACUGGAACAGGAUCCCGUGGAAGUUCCCGUCGAGCUAAAGGAUGAAGAACCUGACACUGUGAUUACAAGAGCUGUGUUCAUGCCAGCCAAUGUCAGUAGGCAGUGGUCAGAAGAGGAGCUGUCGUUUGUGAAGACGGACCCUUCAGUCAGGGUCAAAGAUAUAUACCGUCAGUAUGUGCAAGGCUGCAGGCAUGGGCGCCCGGUCAUGAUGCUGGGAGAUUUUGUGACAGUGCAUGGUUUACCUGCGUGUGCUGAGUGCUCCCUAAAGGUCCCAGGAGGAGGAGGAGAUGAGGAGGCAGCGGUCGGCUGGCUUUGGGCUGGGUUUUUGUGUGUGUGUGUUUCCUUUAGGGAAAAGAUGUUCACAUUGCUGAUCUCUACAUCGUGGCCACCGGGAAGGAUCCACAAGUCAACCUGCUUCGUUGGUUGCCGGAAAACUUUAGGUCCAAGGACAUCCUGCUUUUUCCAGCUUGAAGCAGGCAGGCAGGUGAAGCUGACCAUUAUCUGCUCUGUGUGAGUGCCCUUUGUCUUUCUUGCUCUGUUUUUUCAUCUCAUAGAAAAUAAUGGA